AACGCUGGCGGCGGGCUUAACCCAUGCAAGUCGAACGGAAAGGCCCCUUUGGGGGUACUCGGGUGGCGAACGGGUGAGUAAAACGUGAGUAACCUGCCCUUGACUUCGGGAUAACUUCAGGAAACUGGGGCUAAUACCGGAUAGGAAUCCUUGCUGCAUGGUGGGGGGUGGAAAGCUUCGGCGGUUUUGGAUGGACUCGCGGCUUAUCAGCUUGUUGGUGGGGUAGUGGCUUACCAAGGCUUUGACGGGUAGCCGGCCUGAGAGGGCGACCGGCCACAUUGGGACUGAGAUACGGCCCAGACUCCUACGGGAGGCAGCAGUGGGGAAUAUUGCACAAUGGGCGGAAGCCUGAUGCAGCAACGCCGCGUGCGGGAUGACGGCCUUCGGGUUGUAAACCGCUUUCAGCAGGGGCGAAGCUUGUGGUGACGGUACCUGCAGAAGAAGCACCGGCUAACUACGUG
This 461-nucleotide ribosomal RNA is filed under the name uncultured bacterium. Its description in RNAcentral is "partial 16S ribosomal RNA". It matches the Rfam family "Bacterial small subunit ribosomal RNA", at positions 32 to 507 of the family's 1533-position model. The record is from RNAcentral.